This 689-nucleotide ribosomal RNA is filed under the name uncultured bacterium. Its description in RNAcentral is "bacterial SSU rRNA". It matches the Rfam family "Bacterial small subunit ribosomal RNA", at positions 8 to 688 of the family's 1533-position model. The record is from RNAcentral.
AGAGUUUGAUCAUGGCUCAGAUUGAACGCUGGCGGCAUGCCUAACACAUGCAAGUCGAACGGUAACAGGCGGAGCUUGCUCUGCGCUGACGAGUGGCGGACGGGUGAGUAAUGCUUAGGAAUCUGCCCAGUAGCGGGGGACAACAGUCGGAAACGGUUGCUAAUACCGCAUACGCCCUACGGGGGAAAGCAGGGGAUCUUCGGACCUUGCACUAUUGGAUGAGCCUAAGUCAGAUUAGCUUGUUGGUGGGGUAAAAGCCUACCAAGGCGACGAUCUGUAGCUGGUCUGAGAGGACGAUCAGCCACACUGGAACUGAGACACGGUCCAGACUCCUACGGGAGGCAGCAGUGGGGAAUAUUGCACAAUGGGCGCAAGCCUGAUGCAGCAAUGCCGCGUGUGUGAAGAAGGCCUGCGGGUUGUAAAGCACUUUCAGUAAGGAGGAAAAUCUCAAGGUUAAUACCCUCGAGGCUUGACGUUACUUACAGAAGAAGCACCGGCUAACUCCGUGCCAGCAGCCGCGGUAAUACGGAGGGUGCGAGCGUUAAUCGGAAUUACUGGGCGUAAAGGGUGCGUAGGCGGCAUGGUCAGUCGGAUGUGAAAGCCCCGGGCUCAACCUGGGAAUUGCAUUCGAUACUGCCAAGCUAGAGUAUGUUAGAGGAAAGUGGAAUUCCCGGUGUAGCGGUGAAAUG